Scaptodrosophila lebanonensis is the source of this 737-nucleotide long non-coding RNA. RefSeq lists it as uncharacterized. NCBI's taxonomy places the organism in Eukaryota, Metazoa, Arthropoda, Insecta, Diptera, Drosophilidae. The transcript is spliced from 3 exons. The record is from RefSeq and is a predicted model, not a curated record.
UGUAUUUACAUUUAGUUUUUCGAAUAAUUACAACAAAAAAUUAUAGUAAGAUGUCAAAAACGGUGUGCGCGUCAAAAAUUUUAGAAUAUCUUCGGGAAGUUUGCGAGCCGGUCCCAUUCAGCCGACUUUCGUUAUUAUUUACCGGAGCAAAGCCAGAUGCAGCGACUCUUGCUGCAGUCAACAAGGAACUAGAUAAGGUUCUGGUCGCGAUAAUGGAACUGGGUCUGGUCCUGCAAUGCAACGAACACUAUUACAGUGUUACCCACGCAGAAGAUAUAGCUGAAGUCGUUGAUUUCAAAAAGGACGACGACGACGACGUCUCGGAAUCUGAGAGCGUGAUAUCAUUCUCUAGCUGUGAGUCUAUAGGCACGAGUAAGACAGGAACGAGUAAGAAGAGUGUAACGAUCAAGCCAACUCCAAAGAAAUAUUGAGAACUGGUGUACAUAACAAUUUAGUUCUCCUCUCCAGCACGACGAUAUCCAUUUCAAAAAUUUUAACGGAAAAUCACAUUAGGAUAAUGGCAGCACAAUUCCUAUAUUUCAUCGGAUAAAUUAAAUUGUAAUGAAAAUAUCUAUUCUUUUCAUACUGAAGUUAUUGGUUUAUCUGCCGAUUGAACUGGCAGGACGUCUGGGUACAUCGCUGAAUAUGAACCCGAAGUUAUUCUUGAGUUUUAAGAUUGGCUAAAGUGAAAGUGUAAUAGAUACCACAAUAAUAUAUGUAUAUCAUCAGGCAAAAUA